Molecule: ribosomal RNA, 496 nt
Filed under: uncultured bacterium
Lineage: Bacteria
Description: partial 16S ribosomal RNA
Rfam family: Bacterial small subunit ribosomal RNA
Source: RNAcentral
GAUGAACGCUGGCGGCGUGCCUAAUACAUGCAAGUCGAGCGAACAGACGAGGAGCUUGCUCCUCUGACGUUAGCGGCGGACGGGUGAGUAACACGUGGAUAACCUACCUAUAAGACUGGGAUAACUUCGGGAAACCGGAGCUAAUACCGGAUAAUAUAUUGAACCGCAUGGUUCAAUAGUGAAAGACGGUUUUGCUGUCACUUAUAGAUGGAUCCGCGCCGCAUUAGCUAGUUGGUAAGGUAACGGCUUACCAAGGCGACGAUGCGUAGCCGACCUGAGAGGGUGAUCGGCCACACUGGAACUGAGACACGGUCCAGACUCCUACGGGAGGCAGCAGUAGGGAAUCUUCCGCAGUGGGCGAAAGCUUGACGGAGCAACGCCGCGUGAGUGAUGAAGGUCUUCGGAUCGUAAAACUCUGUUAUUAGGGAAGAACAAAUGUGUAAGUGACUAUGCACGUCUUGACGGUACCUAAUCAGAAAGCCACGGCUAACUACGU